This 2783-nucleotide long non-coding RNA is filed under the name Panax ginseng (ginseng). RNAcentral describes it as "long non-coding RNA (PGIN_LNC007304)". The record is from RNAcentral. Lineage: Eukaryota; Viridiplantae; Streptophyta; Magnoliopsida; Apiales; Araliaceae.
AGUUGGCAAUCUUUAUUUUUUCUUCUUUGGGUAGAAGAAGUUGCUUUUUGUUUCCCCUUAAAUUUGGCAUUCGCCAAAGCAUCAAACCUUUUUUUCUCCUUCUGUGUAAGAAAACGCUAAUUAAAAGCCAAAAAAAAAAAGAAAGAAAAUAGGUGCGAGUAUACACUACCUCACAUAAACGGAGACAAUUUAGCUCAUACUCAUUGCGAAUUAUUACUCCAACAUUAUUAUGACGUAGUAUUCGAACCUGUAGACAAAAGAACGUUGAAUAAUAAAUAAGCUGGUAAAAAGAUAAGACAAAAAGUAAGAAAAUGAUGAGUAAGAAAUUAAAAUAAAUAAGUUAUUAUCAUACAGUGUUUUCUAGGUGGUCAUCCAUCUGUCAUGACAUUAAUGAAAAUAAAUUAAAAUAAAUAAGUUAUUAAAAAAUCAAUAAGAUAUAUUUAGAGAGAGUUAAUCAGAUGAUAAACUUACACUACCAAAUAUAACAACAUCAUCCAUUGGUCGAUGAUUGUGCUGUUGAAACAGAGAGUUAAUCAGAUGAUAAACUCACAUAAUGAACAUCAAUUACAUAAUACAUAUUGUGUUAUGUAUUUUAAAAAGUACAUGCAUUUGUUAAGUUUUUUGUUUACAGAAAUUAUAUGUUAUUUCAUUAUUUAAAAAGUACAGGCUCCUUCACUUUAGCACCCAGAGAAUGAAGGUUGGCUGUUUGGUUGAGAUACAUGCUCUUCUAAAUUUGAUAUUGAAGUGGGUGCAAGGACACCAUGUUGUGGUUCAGGAAGUUAACAUGAUGCUAACUAAUCAAAAAAGAUCUUCCAUGAUAUGAGGGAUCCAACGAUAUAUAUUAAGGAUUUCUCAUCAACCAAACAGAAGAUAUAUAUAUAUUAAGGAUUUCCAUAAGAAGCAAUGUGUAUGAUGUGGAAAUUUUCCAUGAUAUGAUGUGGAAAAGAAUGUUUUAGAACCAAUCCAAACAAAUCCUGUCAUUCUCCAUUCCUUCAGCAAAAAUAGAUUCACUAAGAACAAAACCAUACUUUUCCACAAAAUUCAACCAAAAACAGUAAAUAGCGGUUACCCUCUCAACAAAGACGAUAGUGUGGUAAUGGUGUCACUCACCCUCUCAACAAAGACCGCAGAAAGGAAGAGAGAUUAUGGGAGUGAGGUAAAAAAAUUGGACGUUUCACACCUACUUAUAAACAAUUACAAACAUUGGGAUCAAGCCGGCUCACCUAUUCCUUUCAAAUCAGUAAUUUUUAUCUGAAUUUUUUAAAAAUUAUUUUGUUUAAUAUAACUUUUCCGUUCUAAAAAAAGUCUUACAAAGAUUUGAUGGGUACGAAGAAACACUAAAAUGCAGCUUAGAAUUGAGUAAUAAAUCUCACCUUUUCCCUUGAAUCCAUCGCCAUUGCAAGAAAAAAAUAACUUUGAAAGUGAGAGAGCUUAUUUCACCGCUUCAAAGACCGAAGAUUAGAGCCAUUGAUUUUUCUGUUUGAGUCCUAUAAUUUUUACAUUAUCUAGGAGAAGAUGAAGAAACCAUGAGUAUCAAAUAAGAGAUUAAUAGUGUACAGUUAACAAAUAGUGUACAGUUACUGAAGUUUCUGUAUUCAAAAUUAAUUAACAGGGCAAUGAAUUUACAGAACAAUAGAGGAUAUAAAAUUACCGCAGUGAGGAACAACAGAGGAUAUCGAAACCUCCAUGAAUUGAUUCCACUCCACUUUUCAGUUCUUUGAGCUCUCUAUGUAGCACAGUUUCCCCCUCUAUAAACAUUAAACUCAGUUCUUAGGUUAUUUAAACCAUCUCAAGUUUGUGAAACUUCUUUCGAUGUCAAUUUUCAAUCAGUUUUCAAACAACAACCAUUGUGCAAAAUAGAAUGCCCAAAAAAGAAAAGAAAUAGAAUGCCCAAGAUGUAUAGACUAAUCCAAGAUGUAUAAAAAUAGAAAUAGAAUGCCCAAGAUGUAUAGACUAAUUCAAAUCAUUACAACUCUGUCAAUGCAAGACAUUUUAUGAUGACAAUCACUUCAUUUAUUACCUUCAUUCUGACAUUUUUACUUGCAGUAAUGACUUUGAAGUAAGCUGAAGACCAAGAUAGUGCGUAUACGCUCCUUUAGUUCUUUACCAAGGAAAGAGGGAAGACCAAUCUGCUUUCUUAUUGAGUCAAUAAUUUGCUCUGCAGAAAUAAUCAAAAUUGUUGAAAAAUAUAUAUAGAGAUAAAGAACUACUAACAAAGAAAGCAACCCCUGCUAAAACGCUAACCCUAGAAAUACAGAAUAUCAUAAAUCCGCAAUAGAUUAAAUAUAAUUUACACAAUAAUAAAUUACUAUGCCUAUGCUAUUAUCCCCUUCAAAAAUAAUAAAGAGAGCAUGUAUAUCACUAUGCCUAUGCUAUUAUCAUUUAAGCAAAUAAACUCAAAUGGUUACAGACCAUAUAUAUAAUCAGGAUUAAGAAGAUUAAAAUGGGUAAAUACGUUGCAGCAAUCAUUUCAUGGUAUAAUGUCAAUAGAGAUGAAAUAUAGAGGAGAAUUAGUCUCAUUUAUUCCUUCUAUAAACAUUCAACAGAGUGACGUUUGAGGUGAGCUACUGCAAAAUAGAAUGCCCAAAAAAAGAAAAGAAAUAGAAUGCCCAAAAAGCACACCGGGGAAAAAAAAUCACACCGGCUCUGAGAGAAAACGAAAUGGUGAAACUCUGUGGGAGAAACGAAAGUUAUGCCAACUCGGGGACCUUGCCGUUGCCAUUAUUGCACCGGCGAACAGUUACUAGAAGAGAGAGAGACGUGCGAUAGAGGAAGUGUGCGAC